Molecule: non-coding RNA, 341 nt
Organism: Erinaceus europaeus (western European hedgehog)
Lineage: Eukaryota; Metazoa; Chordata; Mammalia; Eulipotyphla; Erinaceidae
Source: Rfam
GAAUGUGAGGGCGAUCUGGCUGCGACAUCUGUCACCCCAUUGAUCUCCAGGGUUGAUUCGCUGAUGUGACUGGCUAGGAGGGUGUCCCCUUCCUCCCUCACUGCUCCAUGUGAGUCCCUCCCAAAGCUGUGUGCUCUGUCAAAGGGGACUGCCUCCCCCAAAUAGAGACAGGCUGGUCUUUGGUCAAGGGAAUAGGAGUAGCUGCGCUCCCCUGCUGGAACCUCCAAACAAGCUCUCAAAGAAUUUGAGAUAUAACUACACUAUUUUGAAAGUGAUGAAAAUUAUAAUAAGAAGUGACCAUAACUACCAUUGCUUGUAGAUAUGCCAUGAUGGUAGUCAGA